UGAGGAAUAUUGGUCAAUGGGCGAGAGCCUGAACCAGCCAAGUAGCGUGCAGGAAGACGGCCCUAUGGGUUGUAAACUGCUUUUAUGCGGGGAUAAAGUGAUGGACGUGUCCGUCAUUGCAGGUACCGCAUGAAUAAGGACCGGCUAAUUCCGUGCCAGCAGCCGCGGUAAUACGGAAGGUCCGGGCGUUAUCCGGAUUUAUUGGGUUUAAAGGGAGCGUAGGCCGUGGAUUAAGCGUGUUGUGAAAUGCAGGUGCUCAACGUCUGCACUGCAGCGCGAACUGGUCCACUUGAGUGUGCGCAACGCAGGCGGAAUUCGUCGUGUAGCGGUGAAAUGCUUAGAUAUGACGAAGAACUCCGAUUGCGAAGGCAGCCUGCGGGAGCACAACUGACGCUGAAGCUCGAAAGUGCGGGUAUCGAACAGG
RNAcentral lists this ribosomal RNA (424 nucleotides) under uncultured bacterium. RNAcentral's name for it is "bacterial SSU rRNA". It matches the Rfam family "Bacterial small subunit ribosomal RNA", at positions 355 to 776 of the family's 1533-position model. The record is from RNAcentral.